RNA transcript from Helianthus annuus (common sunflower), 2787 nucleotides. RefSeq lists it as uncharacterized. The transcript has 9 exons. NCBI's taxonomy places the organism in Eukaryota, Viridiplantae, Streptophyta, Magnoliopsida, Asterales, Asteraceae. The record is from RefSeq and is a predicted model, not a curated record.
UCCAAUACGGCAACUCCGAUUAGGUUUCAUCUUCUUCUAUACGCUUCCAACUCACAACCGUCUACUUUCUCCCCAAAUCUUCUAGGUAAGAUUCCAAAUCUGUAAUCGUCGACUGGAAAUCUUCAACAACAAGGUUAGAUUACGAUUUCUUUCUGUUAAUCAUGUUUAUUUCUCUAUUCUUCAUCUUCUCACAUACGGUUAGUUCGAUUAGGGUUUUUUUUUGUUCUUUCUCUUCCUCAUCGCAAUCGAUCCUAAAUCUCUUUAGAAACAACUGGAAGCAGCCAAGCAACUAGGUUAAUUUUUCUCGAUCUAUGAUGUUUUAAACAUUGUUUCAUGAUUCAAUCUUUUAAUUAUUUUACAAGAUUCAUUUUCCAUAUAUGAAAUGGCCUUUACAUUACAAACCCUAAAUAAUUGAAUCAUAAUACAAUCCAUAAAUAAUUGAAUCAAAGACAAUCGUUCUUCAAAUAUCGAAGAUCUGUUGCAUAUUGUGGUGUCGCAAAGGACUUUUGAUUCGGUAUGUUUCUUUAAACAAUCCAUGUUUUUCUUACAUUGAUUUUAGAUUUGUAGAUGUUGAUUGAACGUUUUAGAUUGUAGAUUUAUUAUAUGUCUUGAAUCGAUUGUAUAGUUAUGAUAUAUCUUGAAUCGAUUUUUAGGUUUUUUGGUUUUCCAUCAUAUCAGAUCUCUGGUAACAUAUUUUUUGACAUAUGAUUGUUAUUUGAAAUCUCCAAUCUGAUGGUGUUUUUUGUAGGCAUAAUUGCAUAAACACACAUUAACUGCGUAUAUUCUUUAAAUCGUUAAGUAAAAUUUUUACGUUUUAAUUCAUUCUUAAACCCUAAAGUUAGAUUUGGGGGUUUUUCUAAAUCUGUAACCUAAUCUUUUGAAACAAUUUGUUAUAUGUCGUUCGUUGAAUCGUUCUUUCUGUUUCAGAUUGUGAUUCCGAGAUAAACGUUUUUCGCUUGAAACGAUACAGAAUAUAUGUUGUUAUAUAUGUUUUUUGUUUGUCAUUUAUGUCAAUGUAUGUAGAUCUUGGUUUUGAGUUGUGUGGUAUGAGCAAACUUGGUUUUGAUGACUAUAUCUUCACCGCUACAGGGAGUUUAAUGCGAGUGAAUGUGGGUCAAAAUGAGUGUGUCAGAACGGUUAGUUUUUUGAGGUAGUGUUGGGAGCUGCUAAAGGGACUAAGUGAAAGUUUGGAGAUCAGUCAAAGCUGAGUCAAACUUAGUCAAUUAAGUCAACAAAAGUCGAAGUUGGUGUAUUUAAUUAGCUACAGAAUUGGAGUUCCGGGAGGUUCACAACAAUUUAGGUACUUUCAGGAGGCGCUGAUGGAUGGACGGUGAGUAGGGGUGUUCACGGGUCCCAGAACCACCGAUAUCGUUUCAGAGAAUGACAAACCCAACUGUACUGGCUGAUCUAACAACUUGGUUGUGGCGGUGAAAUGAAGAGUUGCUUCUGCACUAUCAACAGGAAGUGGGGAUGCCCAAUAUGUUAUAAAAUUUUGUCACCCAACCAACCCAUUUGAACCUCUAUUCUGGGAUAUUUGAGUGGUCUUAUCUAGCUUAUGAUUAUGCUCCUAAACUAAUUCAUCCAUGGACCUUUUUUCGUAUUUGGUUAUACUACUAAACAAAUUUUGGUCUUAUCAACUUUUUACGGGCUACUUCUCUUUGAUCACUCAGGUUUGCACUUUGUACAUUUAUUGUGUUUGGCCAUUAUGAUUGUUAUUACUACUUUCAUAGAUAUCCUUUAGUUGGUAAUGCAUAGAAGUUGGAACUUUUUUUUAUAUUUUCAAACAUUUUAACAAGUCACUUUCAUGUUACAUGAGCAAGCUAAGCAAACUGGCAUGCAAGAGUGGUGAUAUGGCCUUUCUUUUGUUUAAUCAGAUUGAGGUGGAAAGUGGUGGAACUUGAUGUUGUGCUUGAAACUGUUCCCGAGAUUAACGAAGUGGUUGGCAAUGCAAGUCACUGCAGUAACUCCAAAUCAUAUCCAGUUGGAGGUGUAGCAAGAAGAAAUGCUCCGGUUCCCCCCAUAGAGGCAAGUGAAGUUGGUGAGCCGUAUGAUGGGCAACUAUCUCCUGCGGUUGUACAAAAAAUUCGUGAAGAAGUUUUAUGCAAUGGGAAAUGGAAUGAAGAGGAUGCAUACCUCGAGACAUCAUCAGUAUUAAGCUAUAAGCUAGGUGACGUUAUUCCUGUCGAUGCACGUCUGCUUCAAGGAGUUGAUCAAUCAGCUCUUAUACGGGAUUGAAUUCUGGAGGAGAAAUGUUAAAUUAGGGUUUCUAAGUUGUUAUUGCCUGGCUAAUAAUAUUGUAAUUUAUGAGGACUUAUGAACAAAUCUCCAUAACCUUAGAUAACAGGACAUGGAAUGGCGGGAGGCAAAGCAGACGACAACUAUGGUUGAUUUUUGGAAGGACGGCAGACAUCACUCCAGCGUCAUCAAGCGCCACUCCACCGGCACUCCAUCGACUUCAAGCGGGUUUCCUGGAGAGGUAAUGAUGAAAUAGGGAUGAGAAGAGGUUCUGAAAAUAGGUUUACAAGAACACUUAUGGUUAAGAAGAUUCUGAACGACGGUGGCAGACUUUCAAACAACCAAAUGAAGGAUUCAACCGACGUUUUCUUUAUUGUUGAACUUUUCACAGCCUACGGUUUGCAUAUAUUUCUAUUUCUUUUUUUUCUUAUCCUCAAAAUUGUAUGUAAAUUAUAAAGUUCACUCUUAUAUAUAUAUUUAUUUUUUCUUUGUAUUGAAAGGUAUGACAUUGGCGGAUAGACCAUAAUAAAUUCACGCGUACAGUUUCUUUUA